CCUACGGGAGGCAGCAGUGAGGAAUAUUGGGCAAUGGACGAAAGUCUGACCCAGCAACGCCGCGUGGAGGAUGAAUGCCGUAAGGUUGUAAACUCCUUUUGAGAGGGACGAAAACCCAUAUUUCGUAAGGGCUAUGGUUUGACUGUACCUCUAGAAGAAGCCCCGGCUAACUACGUGCCAGCAGCCGCAGUAAUACGUAGGGGGCAAGCGUUGUCCGGAUUUACUGGGUGUAAAGGGCGCGUAGGCGGAUUUGUAAGUCAGAGGUGAAAGCCCGCAGCUUAACUGCGGAACUGCCUUUGAUACUGCUUAUCUCGAGUUCGGAAGAGAGAAGCGGAAUUCCAGGUGUAGUAGUGAAAUACGUAGAUAUCUGGAAGAACACCAGUGGCGAAGGCGGCUCUCUGGUUUAGCCCUGACGCUGAUCUGUGAAAGCUAGGGGAGCAAACAGGAUUAGAUACCCUGGUAGUCC
Molecule: ribosomal RNA, 466 nt
Filed under: uncultured Chlorobiota bacterium
Lineage: Bacteria; Pseudomonadati; Chlorobiota
Description: bacterial SSU rRNA
Rfam family: Bacterial small subunit ribosomal RNA
Source: RNAcentral